CGGCGAAAGAUUUCGGUAUUUCACUGUCAAAAGCUGACCGUUCACUUCACCAAGAGGUGGUCUUCAUUCUCUGUUCC
Molecule: long non-coding RNA, 77 nt
Organism: Ipomoea nil (Japanese morning glory)
Lineage: Eukaryota; Viridiplantae; Streptophyta; Magnoliopsida; Solanales; Convolvulaceae
Exons: 3
Source: RefSeq, a predicted model, not a curated record